UCUUCUAGCUUGCUAGAAGUGGAUUAGUGGCGCACGGGUGAGUAAUGCAUAGGUUAUGUGCCCUUUAGUCUGGGAUAGCCACUGGAAACGGUGAUUAAUACUGGAUACUCCCUACGGGGGAAAGUUUUUCGCUAAAGGAUCAGCCUAUGUCCUAUCAGCUUGUUGGUGAGGUAAUGGCUCACCAAGGCUAUGACGGGUAUCCGGCCUGAGAGGGUGAUCGGACACACUGGAACUGAGACACGGUCCAGACUCCUACGGGAGGCAGCAGUAGGGAAUAUUGCUCAAUGGGGGAAACCCUGAAGCAGCAACGCCGCGUGGAGGAUGAAGGUUUUAGGAUUGUAAACUCCUUUUGUUAGAGAAGAUUAUGACGGUAUCUAACGAAUAAGCACCGGCUAACGCCGUGCCAGCAGCCGCGGUAAUACGGAGGGUGCAAGCGUUACUCGGAAUCACUGGGCGUAAAGAGUGCGUAGGCGGGGUAAUAAGUCAGAUGUGAAAUCCUGUAGCUUAACUACAGAACUGCAUUUGAAACUGUUACUCUGGAGUGUGGGAGAGGUAGGUGGAAUUCUUGGUGUAGGGGUAAAAUCCGUAGAGAUCAAGAGGAAUACUCAUUGCGAAGGCGACCUGCUGGAACAUUACUGACGCUGAUGCACGAAAGCGUGGGGAGCAAACAGGAUUAGAUACCCUGGUAGUCCACGCCCUAAACGAUGGAUGCUAGUUGUUGCCUUGCUUGUCAGGGCAGUAAUGCAGCUAACGCAUUAAGCAUCCCGCCUGGGGAGUACGGUCGCAAGAUUAAAACUCAAAGGAAUAGACGGGGACCCGCACAAGCGGUGGAGCAUGUGGUUUA
This 844-nucleotide ribosomal RNA is filed under the name uncultured bacterium. RNAcentral's name for it is "bacterial SSU rRNA". It matches the Rfam family "Bacterial small subunit ribosomal RNA", at positions 71 to 948 of the family's 1533-position model. The record is from RNAcentral.